Long non-coding RNA from Heterocephalus glaber (naked mole-rat), 588 nucleotides. The record is from Ensembl. NCBI's taxonomy places the organism in Eukaryota, Metazoa, Chordata, Mammalia, Rodentia, Bathyergidae.
AAGGCCUCCCGAUCCUGCAGAGUACUCUGCAGUGAACUGACUCAAUGGAAAGUGGUGGGAAAGGAAGCUGGCCCUUAGAUUUCAGACCCCUCCAAAGCUUAGUUCUGUCCCAGGCAACAGGAAGGGGUUUCAUCAGGCAACAUGUACGCAGACGAACACACACACACGCACAGCGGAAGACAGCAUGAGGAAUGCCUGUGGGGAACUCCAGUGGAGCCCAGCGCCUACUCCUUGCCACCUCUGCCAACCUCAGUCCCUUCACUGCACCAAAAGUUCCCCUGAUGAGGCUGAGCCACCUUUUAGCAGCUGCUCUGAAAGAGGCUACAAAAUGAAGCAUUCCCAGUUAAUGUCAGUGGUGCUGUGGUUCAAACCCAGGUUUUCCAGCAUGCUAGGCCAAUAUUCUACCACUGAGCAAUAUCACCAGCCCCAGCCCAGUCUGACUUUUGAUACACAGCCCCCAGCCAAUGAACGUAAGUUGGGGAGAGGAAAAGAUAUGUUUCUACCCUCCACUACACACACAUAAACACACACAACACAGAGUUUUCGGUCCAUAUACAUGUGUUUAAAUAGUAAGUGGUAUUAUAUUAC